Molecule: ribosomal RNA, 484 nt
Filed under: uncultured bacterium
Lineage: Bacteria
Description: partial 16S ribosomal RNA
Rfam family: Bacterial small subunit ribosomal RNA
Source: RNAcentral
AUUGAACGCUAGCGGGAUGCUUUACACAUGCAAGUCGAACGGCAGCGCGGACUUCGGUCUGGCGGCGAGUGGCGAACGGGUGAGUAAUGUAUCGGAACGUGCCCAGUAGCGGGGGAUAACUACGCGAAAGCGUAGCUAAUACCGCAUACGCCCUACGGGGGAAAGCAGGGGAUCGUAAGACCUUGCACUAUUGGAGCGGCCGAUAUCGGAUUAGCUAGUUGGUGAGGUAACGGCUCACCAAGGCGACGAUCCGUAGCUGGUUUGAGAGGACGACCAGCCACACUGGAACUGAGACACGGCCCAGACUCCUACGGGAGGCAGCAGUGGGGAAUGUUGGACAAUGGGGGCAACCCUGAUCCAGCCAUCCCGCGUGUGCGAUGAAGGCCUUCGGGUUGUAAAGCACUUUUGGCAGGAAAGAAACGUCGCGGGCUAAUACCCCGUGGAACUGACGGUACCUGCAGAAUAAGCACCGGCUAACUACGUG